This 1439-nucleotide long non-coding RNA is filed under the name Struthio camelus australis. RNAcentral's name for it is "lncRNA (ENSSCUG00000008648.1)". The record is from RNAcentral. Lineage: Eukaryota; Metazoa; Chordata; Aves; Struthioniformes; Struthionidae.
AAACAAGACAGUCAUUAACCUAGGACAAAUGAAAAUAUGGGAGGGAAAGCAAGCGUAGUAAGGAUCACGUCUGUUCAGUCUGUCGCUGACACACCUCAAGAAAUCCCCGAUGUGAAAGAGGAGGUUGCAAGCACGUAUGUGAGAGUGUACUGAGAACAUGCUGUCUAUCAAAAUGUCGCCUUGUGUUGCGUCUCUGUCCCUCACGCCCUUUCCUUGAGGAAGAGCCUUGUCUGUAUGAGCUGUGCGAUCAAAGCCUGUGCUGGCAGCUCUCUGCACUGAAACCUGGGACUUCCUGGGGCUGAAAGCCUUGAAUUUUUGCCUCUGGAGCUGCAGAGCCAUUCUGUCCAACUGUAGCUGUUGCACGCCUGUCUGUGCACUGGGUGUACACCUUAAAACCACAUUAGUGGCGCAGACUCUUGCUCGGCUGGCGAACUGGUGUCAAUCUGCUUGCCAGACCCUCAGUUUAGGUCUCAGAAGUCUGGGAAUGAAGCCUAAUCUUCCAGGACUGGAAAGCGGUGAAUGGAGAGGACAGACCGUGGAUCUUCAUCCAGCAUCAACAGAAGGGAAGCAUCAUUUGGGCAGGAGAGUGUCUGGAGGUUGGUGGGAUCAUCUGUGCUCUCCUUUGGUCACAGAAAGGUACAGUAUAUCUGGGUAUUAUUUAUACAUGUGUACAUACACUCACUUCCAAUACAGAGCACAGUCACCCAACAAGAGUAGCAGAACUGAGCAGCUACCCUUCUUUCUACACAAGGGUGGUAGCUUGCAACCAUCUACUGAUCCUCUCCUUCAGCUUUCCCGGUUUGUGUUGCAAAAAAUCCUUCCCCGAGCCAAGAGAUACAGGCUUCAACUGGUGCAGAGCUUCUGUCAGCAGUGUGAGUGGCCUGCCACUACCAGCACUGGGCAGCAAGCUAGCAAGAGGCUGAUUCCUGGCACAGCGCAGGGCUGCUGCGUUCUUAGCUCUGCUCCUCAUUUCAAUGUCCGGAGUGAGUUCAAAGUUGGGCAAAGCGCCUUUGCAUCAGUGAAUACAAGCUUCUCACUUUUUUCUUCAGCCAAUGUGUGUUUCUAGACAAAAACAUUGCAAAGUCCAGCGCUAAUAGCCCUAUCUGUUACUAUAAUGACUUAUUGCCAUUAAACAAAGAGCCAGGUAUGUCAGGUAUGCUAAUAAGGAACCAUCCCCAAACCCUGGCUGUAUCUGUGUGCUGAACAUCGCAGGAGGUACUAAUGGGGAGCAGAAGUCAUAAUCAACGCAGAGAGAUGUUUUUGAACAAAACCAAAUGCUGUUUGCUUGGAUGGGCUCAGUCGUGAAAAGCUGAGCGUCUUUUACUCCCGUUGAUUUCACGGAAGCUGAAAAUCCUCAAUAUCUGCAAUGACAUCUCCCAGAAUAGACUACAGUUGUCAAUGUGAAAUACUGUCAAUAUUUCUCCAUAAGGCCAAUGCUA